GAAACAUCUUCGGGUUGUGAGGUUAAGCGACUAAGCGUACACGGUGGAUGCCCUGGCAGUCAGAGGCGAUGAAGGACGUGCUAAUCUGCGAUAAGCGUCGGUAAGGUGAUAUGAACCGUUAUAACCGGCGAUUUCCGAAUGGGGAAACCCAGUGUGUUUCGACACACUAUCAUUAACUGAAUCCAUAGGUUAAUGAGGCGAACCGGGGGAACUGAAACAUCUAAGUACCCCGAGGAAAAGAAAUCAACCGAGAUUCCCCCAGUAGCGGCGAGCGAACGGGGAGGAGCCCAGAGCCUGAAUCAGUGUGUGUGUUAGUGGAAGCGUCUGGAAAGGCGCGCGAUACAGGGUGACAGCCCCGUACACAAAAAUGCACAUGCUGUGAGCUCGAUGAGUAGGGCGGGACACGUGGUAUCCUGUCUGAAUAUGGGGGGACCAUCCUCCAAGGCUAAAUACUCCUGACUGACCGAUAGUGAACCAGUACCGUGAGGGAAAGGCGAAAAGAACCCCGGCGAGGGGAGUGAAAAAGAACCUGAAACCGUGUACGUACAAGCAGUGGGAGCACGCUUAGGCGUGUGACUGCGUACCUUUUGUAUAAUGGGUCAGCGACUUAUAUUCUGUAGCAAGGUUAACCGAAUAGGGGAGCCGAAGGGAAACCGAGUCUUAACUGGGCGUUAAGUUGCAGGGUAUAGACCCGAAACCCGGUGAUCUAGCCAUGGGCAGGUUGAAGGUUGGGUAACACUAACUGGAGGACCGAACCGACUAAUGUUGAAAAAUUAGCGGAUGACUUGUGGCUGGGGGUGAAAGGCCAAUCAAACCGGGAGAUAGCUGGUUCUCCCCGAAAGCUAUUUAGGUAGCGCCUCGUGAAUUCAUCUCCGGGGGUAGAGCACUGUUUCGGCAAGGGGGUCAUCCCGACUUACCAACCCGAUGCAAACUGCGAAUACCGGAGAAUGUUAUCACGGGAGACACACGGCGGGUGCUAACGUCCGUCGUGAAGAGGGAAACAACCCAGACCGCCAGCUAAGGUCCCAAAGUCAUGGUUAAGUGGGAAACGAUGUGGGAAGGCCCAGACAGCCAGGAUGUUGGCUUAGAAGCAGCCAUCAUUUAAAGAAAGCGUAAUAGCUCACUGGUCGAGUCGGCCUGCGCGGAAGAUGUAACGGGGCUAAACCAUGCACCGAAGCUGCGGCAGCGACGCUUAUGCGUUGUUGGGUAGGGGAGCGUUCUGUAAGCCUGUGAAGGUGUGCUGUGAGGCAUGCUGGAGGUAUCAGAAGUGCGAAUGCUGACAUAAGUAACGAUAAAGCGGGUGAAAAGCCCGCUCGCCGGAAGACCAAGGGUUCCUGUCCAACGUUAAUCGGGGCAGGGUGAGUCGACCCCUAAGGCGAGGCCGAAAGGCGUAGUCGAUGGGAAACAGGUUAAUAUUCCUGUACUUGGUGUUACUGCGAAGGGGGGACGGAGAAGGCUAUGUUGGCCGGGCGACGGUUGUCCCGGUUUAAGCGUGUAGGCUGGUUUUCCAGGCAAAUCCGGAAAAUCAAGGCUGAGGCGUGAUGACGAGGCACUACGGUGCUGAAGCAACAAAUGCCCUGCUUCCAGGAAAAGCCUCUAAGCAUCAGGUAACAUCAAAUCGUACCCCAAACCGACACAGGUGGUCAGGUAGAGAAUACCAAGGCGCUUGAGAGAACUCGGGUGAAGGAACUAGGCAAAAUGGUGCCGUAACUUCGGGAGAAGGCACGCUGAUAUGUAGGUGAAGUCCCUCGCGGAUGGAGCUGAAAUCAGUCGAAGAUACCAGCUGGCUGCAACUGUUUAUUAAAAACACAGCACUGUGCAAACACGAAAGUGGACGUAUACGGUGUGACGCCUGCCCGGUGCCGGAAGGUUAAUUGAUGGGGUCAGCGCAAGCGAAGCUCUUGAUCGAAGCCCCGGUAAACGGCGGCCGUAACUAUAACGGUCCUAAGGUAGCGAAAUUCCUUGUCGGGUAAGUUCCGACCUGCACGAAUGGCGUAAUGAUGGCCAGGCUGUCUCCACCCGAGACUCAGUGAAAUUGAACUCGCUGUGAAGAUGCAGUGUACCCGCGGCAAGACGGAAAGACCCCGUGAACCUUUACUAUAGCUUGACACUGAACAUUGAGCCUUGAUGUGUAGGAUAGGUGGGAGGCUUUGAAGUGUGGACGCCAGUCUGCAUGGAGCCGACCUUGAAAUACCACCCUUUAAUGUUUGAUGUUCUAACGUUGACCCGUAAUCCGGGUUGCGGACAGUGUCUGGUGGGUAGUUUGACUGGGGCGGUCUCCUCCUAAAGAGUAACGGAGGAGCACGAAGGUUGGCUAAUCCUGGUCGGACAUCAGGAGGUUAGUGCAAUGGCAUAAGCCAGCUUGACUGCGAGCGUGACGGCGCGAGCAGGUGCGAAAGCAGGUCAUAGUGAUCCGGUGGUUCUGAAUGGAAGGGCCAUCGCUCAACGGAUAAAAGGUACUCCGGGGAUAACAGGCUGAUACCGCCCAAGAGUUCAUAUCGACGGCGGUGUUUGGCACCUCGAUGUCGGCUCAUCACAUCCUGGGGCUGAAGUAGGUCCCAAGGGUAUGGCUGUUCGCCAUUUAAAGUGGUACGCGAGCUGGGUUUAGAACGUCGUGAGACAGUUCGGUCCCUAUCUGCCGUGGGCGCUGGAGAACUGAGGGGGGCUGCUCCUAGUACGAGAGGACCGGAGUGGACGCAUCACUGGUGUUCGGGUUGUCAUGCCAAUGGCACUGCCCGGUAGCUAAAUGCGGAAGAGAUAAGUGCUGAAAGCAUCUAAGCACGAAACUUGCCCCGAGAUGAGUUCUCCCUGACUCCUUGAGAGUCCUGAAGGAACGUUGAAGACGACGACGUUGAUAGGCCGGGUGUGUAAGCGCAGCGAUGCGUUGAGCUAACCGGUACUAAUGAACCGUGAGGCUUAACCUU
Molecule: ribosomal RNA, 2924 nt
Filed under: Escherichia coli 53638
Lineage: Bacteria; Pseudomonadati; Pseudomonadota; Gammaproteobacteria; Enterobacterales; Enterobacteriaceae
Description: bacterial LSU rRNA
Rfam family: Bacterial large subunit ribosomal RNA
Source: RNAcentral